AACUAUAACGGUCCUAAGGUAGCGAAAUUCCUUGUCGGGUAAGUUCCGACCUGCACGAAUGGCGUAACGAUGGCCACACUGUCUCCUCUAGAGACUCAGCGAAGUUGAAAUGGUUGUGAAGAUGCAAUCUACCCGCGGUUAGACGGAAAGACCCCAUGAACCUUUACUAUAGCUUUACAUUGGACUUUGAUAACAUCUGUGUAGGAUAGGUGGGAGACUUUGAAGCAGGAUCGCUAGAUCUUGUGGAGUCACCCUUGAAAUACCACCCUGAUGUUGUUGAGGUUCUAACCCAGGUCCCUUAUCGGGAUCGGGGACCGUGUAUGGUGGGUAGUUUGACUGGGGCGGUCUCCUCCCAAAGAGUAACGGAGGAGUGCGAAGGUAACCUAGGCACGGUCGGAAAUCGUGCUGUUAGUGCAAUGGCAUAAGGUUGCUUGACUGCGAGACGGACAGGUCGAGCAGGUACGAAAGUAGGUCAUAGUGAUCCGGUGGUUCUGUAUGGAAGGGCCAUCGCUCAACGGAUAAAAGGUACUCUGGGGAUAACAGGCUGAUUCCUCCCAAGAGUUCAUAUCGACGGGGGAGUUUGGCACCUCGAUGUCGGCUCAUCACAUCCUGGGGCUGUAGUCGGUCCCAAGGGUAUGGCUGUUCGCCAUUUAAAGUGGUACGUGAGCUGGGUUUAAAACGUCGUGAGACAGUUUGGUCCCUAUCUGCCGUGGGCGUUGGAAGUUUGAAGGGGGCUGUUCCUAGUACGAGAGGACCGGAAUGGACAGAUCUCUGGUGGAUCGGUUGUCACGCCAGUGGCAUAGCCGAGUAGCUAAAUCUGGAAGAGAUAAACGCUGAAAGCAUCUAAGCGUGAAACUUGCCCUAAGAUGAGACUUCCCUUGCACUUUAAGUGCACUAAAGAGUCGUUCAAGACCAGGACGUUGAUAGGUCAGGUGUGGAAGUGCAGUAAUGCAUGAAGCUAACUGAUACUAAUUGCUCGUGAGGCUUGAUCCU
Molecule: ribosomal RNA, 993 nt
Filed under: marine metagenome
Description: bacterial LSU rRNA
Rfam family: Bacterial large subunit ribosomal RNA
Source: RNAcentral